AUAAUUUUACUAUGGUAUAUAUUUAUACUCAGCUCAUCUAUCAUGUAAGUUACAUGGUAUAAAUUGGACUCUUUUACACAAACAAUCUCCCACGUUAACUCAACAUAUAUACAUUUUUUAGAUCCUAAUUUAAAGCAAAGUAAUUGUCUUAAUGUGGAAGUUUCACCAUUUAAUUGUCUUAGUGUAGUUAUAUGGUGCAUGAAGUUGUUUUAGCUACAGUUUUAGUUCAGGUAUACCUAUUUUUAUAAUAUUCACUGUCAAUCGAUUAUUUGUGCCAGCAAGGUAAGGAGCUACUACAAAUUCUUUCAUAUUUAUCUGCCUUAAUUUAGGUGCUAUUUUAUUCACACACAUGUGCACAAGUAACAGAUGUCAAUCAAUGCUAAAUCACUCAGGUCACUGUGUAUAUGUGAUCCUGCCUCUUGAAUAAUUAGUGGAACACCAUUGUGAACGGCUCAAGGAGAAAGCUAAUGUAGUUGUCGCCUUGCAGGUACAAUUAAUGUCAAGUAAGGUGGGUGAGAAAAAUGCCGGUGUAGGACAAUUGAAGUGGAGGUGUGAUCGCUGCAUUGGGAUCAAUGAUUACUUAAGAGACAAAGGUUUGAUUUAGUUGUAUGUAUCCAGUUGAGUCGGAUUUGCGGAUUUGCGUCGGCCGAAGUAAAUUUCUGCAUGAAUUUGUUAGUAUUUACUUCUACUUAAUCAAUACGUGUACACAUAACUCUUUUUUAAGUAGGAUUGAAUAUUAGAAUAAUUUUUUGAUGAGUGCUUAAGUAUAUCUUCCUAGAUUUCUAGAUGGAUUAAUAUCUCUAUCAAUUGGAUGUUGCACCUAUGCAUAUAAUAUCACCAUGUAACUAAAGGAUAUGUCCCCUGUAUCGAUGAUAUUACUACCUAUGUUUCUCUGAAUAACCUUCGUGGACUGAUUAACUGGGUGCAUUAUCUUAUAGGAUUUUAGCAAUGUUUAUCUACCGCCACUGAAUAUAAAAGUUUGCUCCCUGCAAACAAAAAAAAGAAUAUAAAGUUUGCCAAUAUAAUAUAAAAGUUUGCCUUUGGAAUGUUCAGGUAUACUUAAUUAGAGUUUUACAUGAUACACACGGACUAGAAAUUCUUACGUCCACUUGACAUAAAAGGGAAAAUGCAUUUUGAAUUCUAUCCAAUAAGACAGGCUUUCUUUUGACGCCGUGGAUAUCACAUUAUUUCAGAAAAUAGUAAAAUCUAUGAAAUAGAUUUGGUGCUAUAUCUAAUAGAAGAAAUAGUUGGUGUUCCAACAUACAUUAAGUUAUUCUACCAAAGAGAUUACUUAUAAAAGGAUUGUGCAGCAGAGAGUGCAUUUGACGACUCCGUAUCAAAUAUAUUCUAACUUCAGUACGGAGACUACUAGAUAUAUUGGUUAGCUGGGGCUGAAGCAUUACACAAUUUUAAUACCAUGAAAUAGAUUUUGUGAUAUAUCUAGUACAAGAAAUAGUUGGUGUUCCAACAUACAUUUAGUUAUUAUAGUAAAGAAAUAUGUAUAUGAGAAAAAAAUGCUAAUUAGGCUGUAAAACUCAUACUGUUUUGGUAUACUCCUAAUUUGGACAUACUGCAUACUUCUUUUUCAGAUACCAUCAUUUUUUUCUUGCAGGCGGCAAUGGCAAGAGCAUAUUGUGCAGAGGAAGAGGAUGAACCUUAAUGCGUUGAACCUUGUAUACUAGAACCUUGCAGGUGUUUUUGCAGAAGUAUUCUGUUGUGUACAUGUAAAAUUAUGUUGAUGCGCCCUUGUUAGGCGUUGAACCUUAAUGCGUGUAGUCGGUGGAUGAUGUAUUGUAUUUGAUGUGAUAUGCUAUUGAAAUGAAAUAUACAUUUUAUUUGCAAUCUUUUAUUCUAUUGUACUUAUUUUUAAUGGGCCUAUCCUGCGAUAUGGGUGCUUCUAUUAAAAAAAUGCUUCAACCCAAACAAAUGAGACAUUUUCAAUAGUAAAAUAGGUAUUGGGCUAGGCCAUGUAGCUAGAU
This 1979-nucleotide long non-coding RNA is filed under the name Hordeum vulgare. Its description in RNAcentral is "long non-coding RNA (HVUL_LNC010211)". Lineage: Eukaryota; Viridiplantae; Streptophyta; Magnoliopsida; Poales; Poaceae. The record is from RNAcentral.